CGGAACGAGAGGCCGUGGCGCGCCGCGGCCUUAUCCGCACCGCGCCACACCUUGACGUCCCGCCACGCCGACCGCGCAAUGGGCCACCAAUGGCCACCACCGCCGCCGCCGCCGCUCUCUCCUGCUCCUGCUCCCCGUCCCCGUCCCCUUCCUCCACGCUCCUCCUCCGGCGAACCGUCUCCGCCUUCCACCGCCGACCUGCCCAUGCCGGCACCCGCCGCCCCCGCCUCGCCCCCUUGCACGUGGUGGACGACUCCAAGGAGGUGGAGACGAGGUCGGAGACGGACAGGCUGGUGGACGGCCUGAACUUCGGGGAGCUGUGCAACGACUUCGAGUGCAUAAGCAGCCCGUACGUGGAGUCCACGGCCAGGCAGAUCGCCAGGGACAUCCUCGAGAUCCGCCAGGACAACCGCGCCCUCAGCUGCUACGCCGUCGCCGUCAAGUACAAGGAUCCUCUCAGGUCAUUUGUUGGGCGUGAGAAGUACAAGAGGCCAUUGUGGAUCACCGAGGCCCUAGAAAAACCUAUAGUGACAGUCCAGGAAAUGUCAAUGCAAUCCACAAGCAGUCUGACCAUCAAGUGGACACUGAGGGGGAAACCCAAGAACGCCUUCUUCGCGGCCGCGGGAGGGGAGCUGGUCGUCCGUGUCGACUCGCAGUUCAUCCUAAACCAGAUCAGCGGGCAGGUGCUGGAGCACUUUGAGUCGUGGGACCUCUCUGCGUCGUCCCCUCUCGCCCAGGCCUACUUCUGGUUUUCCAGGAGGGUUUACUCCACCGUGGAGGCCGGCAAGGACACGAUCGAGGCCGCCAAGGGCUUGGCGUCCCGGCUGAACAAGGACGAUAAUAUUGAGGUCUAUCCCGACCCUCUGGGAGAUCCGACGAAGUUCUUUACGAGGCCUGAUGAUCUGAACCAGGACGUGGUUCAGAUUGGGCUCUUCCUGGCCGUUCUCUACUUCAUUGUACAGUUCCUGAAAACGACUCUGUGAUGAUGACUGUAUUAGCUACGACCCGUAUCUGAAGAACACUUGGAAUGUCAUGGUGAACUCGAUCUCCAGAAUGAGGUUGUGUGUAUAUACAUACCAUGUAUCGAUGUCUAACAUACUCAUAUCACAGGCAUUCAUGCCCACGCAGGCAUGAGUUUUGAGACUAGUCACUUUAUGGUCAGUGGGUGCACGUGUAUAUGUCUGGCAUUGAUCCCUUGGUUUCGUCGCUCGUCGGCUGUAGAAUAGCGAGCAGCAGUUGAUCAGGAUCCAAGGUGGUCUUGGUGAUUUCAGUGGCCAGGGUCGGGCACCGGAG
This 1293-nucleotide ribosomal RNA is filed under the name Triticum aestivum (bread wheat). RNAcentral's name for it is "partial small subunit ribosomal RNA". The record is from RNAcentral. Lineage: Eukaryota; Viridiplantae; Streptophyta; Magnoliopsida; Poales; Poaceae.